Molecule: long non-coding RNA, 347 nt
Filed under: Equus asinus (donkey)
Lineage: Eukaryota; Metazoa; Chordata; Mammalia; Perissodactyla; Equidae
Description: lncRNA (ENSEASG00005029658.1)
Source: RNAcentral
AUCACUUAAUUCUGUAAAGUGUUAAGUGAAAGUUUUAAACCAUGAGUUGACCUUUGGCCUGUGAAGCUGAAUAAAUUGUUCAAAUCUUACCCCUAAAUGUCUCAUUACACAGCCUGAGCUGGCACUGGAAAGGCACUCAGAAAUAGUUCCUAUCAGUCCAACAGACGUCUUUACCAAUUUAGGGCUGUGUAUUUGACCAGGACUACGGGAAGGAAACGUUAAUCCUAAAAGAAAAAAAAUCACUGAAAUGAUACUGGACUGUGAAAUGGAUUGAAGUGAGGAAGAUGUGCGCGCUCUGAACCCCUGAAGCAUGAGCCUCACUCCGUCCAACAGAAGGUGGUGCUGAG